CAAGUCGAGCGGGGAAAGGUAGCUUGCUACUGGACCUAGCGGCGGACGGGUGAGUAAUGCUUAGGAAUCUGCCUAUUAGUGGGGGACAACAUUCCGAAAGGAAUGCUAAUACCGCAUACGUCCUACGGGAGAAAGCAGGGGACCUUCGGGCCUUGCGCUAAUAGAUGAGCAUAAGUCGGAUUAGCUAGUUGGUGGGGUAAAGGCCUACCAAGGCGACGAUCUGUAGCGGGUCUGAGAGGAUGAUCCGCCACACUGGGACUGAGACACGGCCCAGACUCCUACGGGAGGCAGCAGUGGGGAAUAUUGGACAAUGGGGGGAACCCUGAUCCAGCCAUGCCGCGUGUGUGAAGAAGGCCUUAUGGUUGUAAAGCACUUUAAGCGAGGAGGAGGCUACUAGUAUUAAUACUACUGGAUAGUGGACGUUACUCGCAGAAUAAGCACCGGCUAACUCUGUGCCAGCAGCCGCGGUAAUACAGAGGGUGCGAGCGUUAAUCGGAUUUACUGGGCGUAAAGCGUGCGUAGGCGGCCAUUUAAGUCAAAUGUGAAAUCCCCGAGCUUAACUUGGGAAUUGCAUUCGAUACUGGAUGGCUAGAGUAUGGGAGAGGAUGGUAGAAUUCCAGGUGUAGCGGUGAAAUGCGUAGAG
RNAcentral lists this ribosomal RNA (643 nucleotides) under uncultured Acinetobacter sp. RNAcentral describes it as "bacterial SSU rRNA". It matches the Rfam family "Bacterial small subunit ribosomal RNA", at positions 58 to 695 of the family's 1533-position model. The record is from RNAcentral. Lineage: Bacteria; Pseudomonadati; Pseudomonadota; Gammaproteobacteria; Moraxellales; Moraxellaceae.